CGGACGGGUGAGUAACACGUGGAUAACCUACCUAUAAGACUGGGAUAACUUCGGGAAACCGGAGCUAAUACCGGAUAAUAUAUUGAACCGCAUGGUUCAAUAGUGAAAGACGGUUUUGCUGUCACUUAUAGAUGGAUCCGCGCCGCAUUAGCUAGUUGGUAAGGUAACGGCUUACCAAGGCAACGAUGCGUAGCCACCUGAGAGGGUGAUCGGCCACACUGGAACUGAGACACGGUCCAG
This 240-nucleotide ribosomal RNA is filed under the name uncultured Staphylococcus sp. Its description in RNAcentral is "partial 16S ribosomal RNA". It matches the Rfam family "Bacterial small subunit ribosomal RNA", at positions 99 to 334 of the family's 1533-position model. Lineage: Bacteria; Bacillati; Bacillota; Bacilli; Caryophanales; Staphylococcaceae. The record is from RNAcentral.